UACGUAGGAGACGAGCGUUUGUCCGGAGUUACUGGGCGUAAAGGGUGCGCAGGCGGCCUUGCGCGUCGCGAGUGAAAUCUCCCGGCUCAACUGGGAGGGUGGUCGCGAGACGGCAGGGCUUGAGGCUCGGUGAGGGCGUGGAAUUCCGGGUGGAGCGGUGAAAUGCGUAGAGAUCCGGAGGAACACCGACGGCGUAGGCAGCGCCCUAGACGAGACCUGACGCUCAGGCACGAAAGCGCGGGGAGCGAACAG
This 252-nucleotide ribosomal RNA is filed under the name uncultured bacterium. Its description in RNAcentral is "partial 16S ribosomal RNA". It matches the Rfam family "Bacterial small subunit ribosomal RNA", at positions 524 to 775 of the family's 1533-position model. The record is from RNAcentral.